This 1249-nucleotide long non-coding RNA is filed under the name Zea mays. RNAcentral's name for it is "long non-coding RNA (ZMAY_LNC004328)". The record is from RNAcentral. Lineage: Eukaryota; Viridiplantae; Streptophyta; Magnoliopsida; Poales; Poaceae.
CCGGAUCCUUGGCCACUGCUCUUCUACUCGCCACAAUACAAUCAAGCAUAGUAUAAAAGGAGAAAUUAACAUCACACCAAACAUGUAUACAAAAUACAUAUUAAUAAUCUACACAUUAAAAUAAGAUCAUAGGAAAAACAAUCACUAAAUUCGGAGUUACAGAUAUUUAGUUAUGAAUUUCCGAAGGUUUUAUGUAUUUGAUACAAUAUUAAUUAAGAGAUCAAUUUUAAUACAGUUUUCAUGUCAAAAUAGAGAUGCUAUGUGAUGAACAAUAUUAUUAGAAAAUUACGGGAACUGGAAUGGACUAAAAAGAAAUUAAAAUGAAUUUUAUAUGCAUUUUACAAGUUUCUAGAAUUAUUUUGUAUUAAAAAUCAAUUUCUAUAAUUAAUUCUAUAAUUUCUCUGGUUUCUGGACUGGCGCAUAAAUACAGAUAAGUACAGGGGUUAAUGCGCGAAAAGUCCUAAGACUUAGUGUGCCUGACUCUGGACCGCGGGUUGAUUCCCUAAAAACUAAGGGGCCAAUUUGUUAGCUCGACCGACUAAAAGGGUAUCUACGGAUCUGGGCUACCAGAUCUAAAACCUGUGGCCAGGAUUAGAUCGGGUAUACAAUGAAACGGUAGCGGCGCCCACCGUUCGAUUAUUGGUCAACGACCUAGGUUUAACACUCCUAGCAUGGCCCCAGAGACGCCCGAUCGAGCUCCGAGGGCGCGAAUGCAACAGCCCAAAGGGGUACGCCAUACUCUAAUCCUACUCGUACGUGUGCAAUCCGACGGCUACGGUAGCGUCUUCUUCCUUAGCGCCAGACGACGGUCACGACCGUGCGGCAAUAGCGGCGACAUUACCGGUGUAAGCCGAUUCUGGCCCAUGGUGCCCUACCGAGCUUCUAAUCCGACUCCAGACGAAGCGAAAGAUCAUACUAACAUAUGAAUGGGACCUUACCAUAAUAGAAGUGGUGAGGUGCUCGUCGAUCCGCCGAAACGAGUCCGCGGCGACGCUGAAUUCCGAUGAGAAAUUCUCGGUCAAAUCCGGCUUCCCGGUUCCCAUGGCUUCCUCGACUCGUUACCCACUUCUCCCGCGCACACUCCCCUGUUCGCCAAUCGUCCCUGUGAAUGAUGAAUCGCGCAGCGGCACAACCCUCCCCUGCUCUAGUUCCUGGCGUUAGGCAAAACCGUCCUCGGACGAUGGGGCGCAUGAGCUUAUAUCAUCCCUGAGUCCGCGAGAUGACCGACAGCCCAUGAACGGCAUACCAC